Molecule: ribosomal RNA, 253 nt
Filed under: uncultured bacterium
Lineage: Bacteria
Description: partial 16S ribosomal RNA
Rfam family: Bacterial small subunit ribosomal RNA
Source: RNAcentral
UACGGAAGGGGCGAGCGUUGUUCGGAAUUACUGGGCGUAAAGAGCUCGUAGGUGGUUUGUCGCGUUGUCCGUGAAAACUCACAACUCAAUUGUGGGCGUGCGGGCGAUACGGGCAGACUGGAGUACUGCAGGGGAGACUGGAAUUCCUGGUGUAGCGGUGGAAUGCGCAGAUAUCAGGAGGAACACCGGUGGCGAAGGCGGGUCUCUGGGCAGUAACUGACGCUGAGGAGCGAAAGCGUGGGGAUCAAACAGG